RNAcentral lists this ribosomal RNA (230 nucleotides) under uncultured bacterium. Its description in RNAcentral is "partial 16S ribosomal RNA". It matches the Rfam family "Bacterial small subunit ribosomal RNA", at positions 118 to 351 of the family's 1533-position model. The record is from RNAcentral.
UGGGAACCCGCCUUUGGGUACGGAACAACGCCGGGAAACUGGCGCUAAUACCGUAUACGUCCUUGGCUUUGGCGGCCAUUGGGGAAAGAUUUAUCGCCCGAAGAGGGGCCCGCGUCCGAUUAGCUAGUUGGUGUGGUAAAGGCGCACCAAGGCAUCGAUCGGUAGCUGGUCUGAGAGGAUGAUCAGCCACACUGGGACUGAGACACGGCCCAGACUCCUACGGGAGGCAG